UGAGGAAUUUUGCGCAAUGGGGGAAACCCUGACGCAGCAACGCCGCGUGAGUGAUGAAGGCCUUCGGGUCGUAAAGCUCUGUCGAGUGGGAAGAAUCCACCUUUCGCUAAUAUCGGAGGUGCUGACGGUACCACUGGAGGAAGCACCGGCUAACUCUGUGCCAGCAGCCGCGGUAAUACAGAGGGUGCAAGCGUUAUUCGGAAUCACUGGGCGUAAAGGGCGCGUAGGCGGUCCCUUAAGUCAGGCGUGAAAGCCCGGGGCUAAACUCCGGAAGUGCGUCUGAAACUAGGGGGCUUGAGUACGGGAGAGGGAAGUGGAAUUCCUGGUGUAGAGGUGAAAUUCGUAGAUAUCAGGAGGAACACCGGUGGCGAAGGCGACUUCCUGGACCGAUACUGACGCUGAGGCGCGAAAGCGUGGGGAGCAAACAGG
Molecule: ribosomal RNA, 429 nt
Filed under: uncultured Desulfobacteraceae bacterium
Lineage: Bacteria; Pseudomonadati; Thermodesulfobacteriota; Desulfobacteria; Desulfobacterales; Desulfobacteraceae
Description: bacterial SSU rRNA
Rfam family: Bacterial small subunit ribosomal RNA
Source: RNAcentral